Orcinus orca (killer whale) is the source of this 868-nucleotide long non-coding RNA. RefSeq lists it as uncharacterized. Lineage: Eukaryota; Metazoa; Chordata; Mammalia; Artiodactyla; Delphinidae. The record is from RefSeq and is a predicted model, not a curated record. The transcript is spliced from 3 exons.
CUUUAGGUGGGCGGGGUCUGUGCUUUGUCCUGCCUCAGGUCCCCGCUGGUCCCUCGCGCUGCCGGAAAGUGGGCCAAAGGGGAUAUCCAGAACUGCGGGGGCGUCCCGAGGCCCUUCUUUGCCCACACCGAAGAGGUCCUUGGAUUGAGAAUGAGACAAUUCACAGCAGGGACUGCCGGACAUCAACACCAUGAGGUGCCAACACUCUCAGGAACUUCUUGUUCCUGCGCACUGCCAGCUGGGUUAUUUUCAGAGAGGCGCUGAAGGAAAUAAGUUCUUUCUCCCUCUCCCACCUGGGCUGGAAGCCAAGAUAGCUGUGUAUUUGGAAGAAAGCAGAAGCCAAGAUCUGAAGAAAUAGAAAAGAAGCACUCCCUAUUCCUGACAGCCAACCUGGGGCCACCUGCUGCUGAUCAAAGAGCUUUGAUGAUUUCUGGAAAUUAUCAUUCAUCAUGAGACAAACCCUCCCUUUUGUUAUAAAAGCAACUCGCCCCUUCUACUCAGGGAGCUGGCUCUUUUUUUUUUUUCCUGCCUUCUCCCUUGUGCACAAGCUAUCUCUUUUAAUAAAAAGCUUUGCUUGCCUGAGAGCCUUGUAGAAGCGAUAUUCAUUUCUACCGUAUUGCUGUCCAAGAGUCUGGAAAGGGCCUGGUAACAGUAGGAACAGACUUUAAGACCAAAGGAGGAGGAUUCUGAGCUGAGAUCAGCUUUUUUAUUUGGAAAGAUCACUCUGGCUAUCCUGGGGAGAAUGGAUUAGAAGGGGGUAGAGUCAGAGCCAGGCAACCUGGUUAGGAAUCUCUAGCAGAAAUCCAGGGGUGAAGAGCUUGAACUAGGGUACUGAGAAAGAGAAAAGUAGCUGCUAAUGUCCAGAAGC